This 65-nucleotide transfer RNA is filed under the name Disteniazteca fimbriata. Its description in RNAcentral is "tRNA-Ser". The record is from RNAcentral. Lineage: Eukaryota; Metazoa; Arthropoda; Insecta; Coleoptera; Cerambycidae.
AAUUAAUGAGCUUGUACUUAAGCGUAUACUUUGAAAGUAUAAGAAAGAGUAAUUUCUAUUAAUUU